CUGGCUCAGGACGAACGCUGGCGGCGUGCUUAACACAUGCAAGUCGAGCGAGUUGAUUCCCUUCGGGGAUGAAGCUAGCGGCGGACGGGUGAGUAACACGUGGGCAACCUGCCUUAUAGAGGGGGAUAGCCUUCCGAAAGGAAGAUUAAUACCGCAUAACAUCAGAUUAUCG
RNAcentral lists this ribosomal RNA (172 nucleotides) under Clostridium cavendishii DSM 21758. RNAcentral describes it as "16S rRNA. Bacterial SSU". It matches the Rfam family "Bacterial small subunit ribosomal RNA", at positions 19 to 189 of the family's 1533-position model. Lineage: Bacteria; Bacillati; Bacillota; Clostridia; Eubacteriales; Clostridiaceae. The record is from RNAcentral.